Ricinus communis (castor bean) is the source of this 95-nucleotide non-coding RNA. NCBI's taxonomy places the organism in Eukaryota, Viridiplantae, Streptophyta, Magnoliopsida, Malpighiales, Euphorbiaceae. The record is from Rfam.
GGGUGCGAUCAUACCAGCACUGAUGCACCGGAUCCCAUCGGGCGAUUGUAGUACUAAGAUGGGUGACCUCUUGGGAAGUCCUCGUGUUGCACCCC